GCAGGCCUAACACAUGCAAGUCGAACGAACCUUUUAGGUGAGUGGCGCACGGGUGCGUAACGCGUGGGAAUAUGCCCUUGAGUGAGGAAUAACGUAGAGAAAUUUGCGCUAAUACCUCAUAAUGACUCCGGUCCAAAGAUUUAUCGCUCAAGGAUUAGCCCGCGUCAGAUUAGAUAGUUGGUGAGGUAACGGCUCACCAAGUCGACGAUCUGUAGGGGGUCUGAGAGGAUGAUCCCCCACACUGGUACUGAGACACGGACCAGACUCCUACGGGAGGCAGCAGUGAGGAAUAUUGGACAAUGGGGGCAACCCUGAUCCAGCCAUGCCGCGUGAGUGAAGACGGCCUUAGGGUUGUAAAGCUCUUUCAAUUGCGAAGAUAAUGACGGUAACAAUAGAAGAAGCUCCGGCUAAAUUCGUGCCAGCAGCCGCGGUAAUACGAAUGGAGCAAGCGUUGUUCGGAAUCACUGGGCUUAAAGCGUAUGUAGGCGGACUGGAAAGUCAGGAGUGAAAUCCCGAGGCUCAACCUCGGAACUGCUCUUGAGACGCUCAGUCUAGAAUCCUGGAGAGGUUAGGAGAAUUCCGAGUGUAGAGGUGAAAUUCGCAGAUAUUCGGAGGAAUACCAGUGGCGUAGGCGCCUAACUGGACAGGUAUUGACGCUCAGAUACGAAAGCGCGGGGAGCAAACAGGAUUAGAUACCCUGGUAGUCCACGCCGUAAACGAUGUUUGCUAGUUGUCAGGCCCUUAGGGUUUGGUGACGGAGAGAAAUCAUUAAGCAAACCGCCUGGGGAGUACGGCCGCAAGGUUAAAACUCAAAGGAAUUGACGGGGACCCGCACAAGCGGUGGAGCAUGUUGUUUAAUUCGAAGCAACGCGAAGACCUUACCCACUCUUGACAUCCUCCUUGGGACUUUUAGAGAUAAUUGUCUUCGGUUCGGCCGGGGGAGUGACAGGUGCUGCAUGGCUGUCGU
RNAcentral lists this ribosomal RNA (967 nucleotides) under uncultured marine eubacterium HstpL24. Its description in RNAcentral is "bacterial SSU rRNA". It matches the Rfam family "Bacterial small subunit ribosomal RNA", at positions 42 to 1055 of the family's 1533-position model. The record is from RNAcentral.